UCUCUGGUGGCUCAGACGGUAAAGCAUCUGCCUACAAUGUGGGAGACCCAGGUUCAAUCCCUGGGUUGGGAA
Molecule: transfer RNA, 72 nt
Filed under: Ovis aries (sheep)
Lineage: Eukaryota; Metazoa; Chordata; Mammalia; Artiodactyla; Bovidae
Rfam family: tRNA
About the family: Transfer RNA (tRNA) molecules are approximately 80 nucleotides in length. Their secondary structure includes four short double-helical elements and three loops (D, anti-codon, and T loops).
Source: Rfam by way of RNAcentral